UUUUUAGGUAGAGGUUGCAAACAACAGGAGUACCUUAAGGGAGUUAGACAAAAGCUAUGAUCUUAAGAAAAAGGGGAGUUUGCCGAAAUAUAAUUGACUUGUCAUCAAUUGUGUUGGGAAUAUGGAGAAUAUCCAUAUGACUGUCAUUAGUUUACUAAUGGUGCGCUAUCAGAGGU
RNAcentral lists this non-coding RNA (176 nucleotides) under Cetobacterium ceti. RNAcentral's name for it is "Lysine sequence". It matches the Rfam family "Lysine riboswitch aptamer". Rfam says of the family: Riboswitches are metabolite binding domains within certain messenger RNAs that serve as precision sensors for their corresponding targets. Allosteric rearrangement of mRNA structure is mediated by ligand binding, and this results in modulation of gene expression. The record is from Rfam by way of RNAcentral. Lineage: Bacteria; Fusobacteriati; Fusobacteriota; Fusobacteriia; Fusobacteriales; Fusobacteriaceae.